CGAGUGGCGAACGGGUGAGUAAUAUAUCGGAACGUACCCUAGAGUGGGGGAUAACGUAGCGAAAGUUACGCUAAUACCGCAUACGAUCUAAGGAUGAAAGUGGGGGAUCGCAAGACCUCAUGCUCGUGGAGCGGCCGAUAUCUGAUUAGCUAGUUGGUAGGGUAAAAGCCUACCAAGGCAUCGAUCAGUAGCUGGUCUGAGAGGACGACCAGCCACACUGGAACUGAGACACGGUCCAGACUCCUACGGGAGGCAGCAGUGGGGAAUUUUGGACAAUGGGCGAAAGCCUGAUCCAGCAAUGCCGCGUGAGUGAAGAAGGCCUUCGGGUUGUAAAGCUCUUUUGUCAGGGAAGAAACGGUGAGAGCUAAUAUCUCUUGCUAAUGACGGUACCUGAAGAAUAAGCACCGGCUAACUACGUGCCAGCAGCCGCGGUAAUACGUAGGGUGCAAGCGUUAAUCGGAAUUACUGGGCGUAAAGCGUGCGCAGGCGGUUUUGUAAGUCUGAUGUGAAAUCCCCGGGCUCAACCUGGGAAUUGCAUUGGAGACUGCAAGGCUAGAAUCUGGCAGAGGGGGGUAGAAUUCCACGUGUAGCAGUGAAAUGCGUAGAUAUGUGGAGGAACAC
RNAcentral lists this ribosomal RNA (621 nucleotides) under Janthinobacterium sp. Its description in RNAcentral is "bacterial SSU rRNA". It matches the Rfam family "Bacterial small subunit ribosomal RNA", at positions 92 to 709 of the family's 1533-position model. Lineage: Bacteria; Pseudomonadati; Pseudomonadota; Betaproteobacteria; Burkholderiales; Oxalobacteraceae. The record is from RNAcentral.